AACGAACGCUGGCGGCAGGCCUAACACAUGCAAGUCGAACGAAGGCCCGGAGCUUGCUCCGGAUCCCUUAGUGGCGCACGGGUGAGUAACGCGUGGGAACCAACCUUGGAGCGGGGAAUAACUAUUGGAAACGAUAGCUAAUACCGCAUACGCUCUUCGGAGGAAAGGCUUCGGCCACUCCAAGACGGUCCCGCGUCUGAUUAGCUAGUUGGUAAGGUAAUGGCUUACCAAGGCGACGAUCAGUAGCUGGUCUGAGAGGAUGAUCAGCCACACUGGAACUGAGACACGAUCCAG
Molecule: ribosomal RNA, 294 nt
Filed under: uncultured bacterium
Lineage: Bacteria
Description: partial 16S ribosomal RNA
Rfam family: Bacterial small subunit ribosomal RNA
Source: RNAcentral